GACGAACGCUGGCGGCGUGCUUAACACAUGCAAGUCGAACGAUGAAGCUGGAGCUUGCUCCGGUGGAUUAGUGGCGAACGGGUGAGUAACACGUGAGCAAUCUGCCCUUGACUCUGGGAUAACUGCGGGAAACUGUAGCUAAUACCGGAUACUUUCACUGGAAGGCAUCUUCUGGUGAAGAAAGAAUUUCGGUCAAGGAUGAGCUCGCGGCCUAUCAGCUUGUUGGUGAGGUAACGGCUCACCAAGGCGACGACGGGUAGCCGGCCGGAGAGGGUGACCGGCCAGACUGUGACUGAGACACGGCCCAGACUCCGACGGGAGGCAGCAGUGGGGAAUAUUGCACAAUGGGCGCAAGCCUGAUGCAGCAACGCCGCGUGAGGGAUGAAGGCCUUCGGGUUGUAAACCUCUUUUAGCAGGGAAGAAGCGAAAGUGACGGUACCUGCAGAAAAAGCACCGGCUAACUACGUGCCAGCCGCCGCCGUAA
RNAcentral lists this ribosomal RNA (484 nucleotides) under uncultured bacterium. Its description in RNAcentral is "partial 16S ribosomal RNA". It matches the Rfam family "Bacterial small subunit ribosomal RNA", at positions 28 to 523 of the family's 1533-position model. The record is from RNAcentral.